Molecule: microRNA precursor, 215 nt
Organism: Oryza sativa Japonica Group (Japanese rice)
Lineage: Eukaryota; Viridiplantae; Streptophyta; Magnoliopsida; Poales; Poaceae
Rfam family: MIR812 microRNA precursor family
Source: Rfam
AAAAAGGCAAACCGUGGGUUUCCGUGCCAACGUUUGACUGUCCGUCUUAUAUGAAAAUUUUUUAUAAUUAGUAUUUUCAUUGUUGUUAGAUGAUAAAACAUGAUAAAACAUGAUUAAUACUUUAUGCGUGACUUAUCUUUUUAAUUUUUUUCAUAAUUUUUUUAAAUAAGACGGACGGUCAAACGUUGGCACGGAAACCCACGGUUUGCCUUUUU